Non-coding RNA from Paramuricea clavata, 1309 nucleotides. NCBI's taxonomy places the organism in Eukaryota, Metazoa, Cnidaria, Anthozoa, Malacalcyonacea, Plexauridae. The record is from the annotation of a GenBank genome assembly.
CAUGUUUAUAGCUCUUAUUUGUUCUUCAGCUGCUAUUGCUGCUCCCCGUCGUGGACGAAACUCUUCAACAUCAGGAUUCAACGGUUGCUUCGAGUCAUUGAAAUCACAUUUCAACUCUAAAGGGUAGAGGUGUUGAGGGGUUCUCUCCAAAAUUCCAUUUCCCGUUUGAACCUUAGCGCCACGAAUUUCUCCAUCACGACCGAGUAUAAGACGAACUACUUUCCCGAGUUUCCAUAGAUUCCGAUUCUUUUCAUCACCUCUAAUUAUGACAAUAUCGCCGACCUCUGGUGAUUCGGUCUUCUUAUCUUGCUGUAGUAAUCGAUGUUUCUCGCGCAGACUUCGUACAUACUCUUUACUCCAUCUUGCCCAUAACGAAUCCUUCACUUUAGACAGAUAUCUAGCUCGCUUUCGUAACAUAGUUUCCUGGAGGUGAUGUGGCUCCAAUUCUAACGGCUGAGUAGGUUGAAGGAACAUAAAGGAAUUGGGUGUGAGUAGAGGGAGUUGGAUAUCAUCUUCCACAUAAUCUAACGGACGACCGUUGAUAGACGUCUCAACAUCCAAUACGAUCGCAGACAGCUCAUCAAAAUUCAAGGUACCGUUUCCAACUGUCUUGUGAAAUGCCGAAUUGAAAACUCCUACAAGUCUCUCAAAUUGUCCACCCCACCAGGGUGCUCUACUUAGGUUAAAUUUCCAUUCAAUGGAGUUCUUUGCCAAGUAAUUGUUGAUCUUCUCGUCUUUAUUGAUCAGAUUUAUCAAUUUUGCUGCCGCUUUAAAGGUACUACCAUUGUCAGAGUAAAUAAUUCUUGGUCUUCCCCGUCUUGCUACGAAUCUUAUUAAUGAUCUCAUGAACUCGUCCGUUUCCAAGGAAUGUAACAGUUCCAAAUAGACUCCUCGCGUCAGACUACAAGCAUAAAGGAUCAGAUAUGCCUUCCCAUCAGUGUUCGCUUUGAUUCUGUACUUUAUCGGUCCCGCAAAGUCAAUACCGACCACUGCAUACGGAGUUUCGCCUUGCGUACGACUGGUUGGUAGCUGUCCGGGGGGUGGCGAAGAAUACGAUGUAGCUCGAAACCGUACACAUCCAUAACAAGAACUCCUAACUAGCUUUACCAAUCGCCUUAACCUCGGAAUCCAAUACUGCUCUCGUAAUUUAGCCAUGGUAAGGGUUACUCCCCCAUGAAGAGUAUCCAAAUGGGCUUGGAAUACUAAUGCUUUCGUGUAAGAUGCUGUAUCCGGUAGAAAGAUCGGGUAUUGACCUUCGAUUCGUCCUCUGCAUUCUAGUACUCCCUCACUAUUCUUCUGAAUGUUAAAC